AACGAACGCUGGCGGCAUGCCUAACACAUGCAAGUCGAACGAAGGCUUCGGCCUUAGUGGCGCACGGGUGCGUAACGCGUGGGAAUCUGCCCUUAGGUUCGGAAUAACAGUUAGAAAUGACUGCUAAUACCGGUUGAUGACGUAAGUCCAAAGAUUUAUCGCCUGAGGAUGAGCCCGCGUAGGAUUAGCUAGUUGGUGUGGUAAAGGCGCACCAAGGCGACGAUCCUUAGCUGGUCUGAGAGGAUGAUCAGCCACACUGGGACUGAGACACGGCCCAGACUCCUACGGGAGGCAGCAGUGGGGAAUAUUGGGCGAUGGGCGCAAGCCUGAUCCAGCAAUGCCGCGUGAGUGAUGAAGGCCUUAGGGUUGUAAAGCUCUUUUACCCGUGAUGAUAAUGACAGUAGCGGGAGAAUAAGCCCCGGCUAACUCCGUG
This 433-nucleotide ribosomal RNA is filed under the name uncultured bacterium. RNAcentral's name for it is "partial 16S ribosomal RNA". It matches the Rfam family "Bacterial small subunit ribosomal RNA", at positions 29 to 507 of the family's 1533-position model. The record is from RNAcentral.